GAUGAAGAACGCAGCGAAAUGCGAUAAGUAAUGUGAAUUGCAGAAUUCAGUGAAUCAUCGAAUCUUUGAACGCACAUUGCGCCCCCUGGAAUUCCGGGGGGCAUGCCUGUUCGAGCGUCUCAGGGACAAACCCUCGCGCGGGUGUACGCGCGGUCGUGGCUGCGGUGGCGUGCCCGAGGCGGCGGCCACCGCGCUGGAAUCCAUGGGCGGACGCCUGCCGCGUGGCCGAGCGUGAUAUGACGCAGUGGCGCUCGCACGCGGAGAGGCUGCCAGCCCUGGCCCGUCUGUCGGGCGGGGGAGAGCAAGACACGUGAACUCCUCGAAUCAGGUAGGGAUACCCGCUGAACUUAAGCAUAUCAAUAAGCGGAGGA
This 371-nucleotide unclassified non-coding RNA is filed under the name soil metagenome. RNAcentral's name for it is "partial contains 5.8S ribosomal RNA, internal transcribed spacer 2, and large subunit ribosomal RNA". The stretch from base 1 to 120 matches the Rfam family "5.8S ribosomal RNA", at positions 35 to 154 of the family's 154-position model. The record is from RNAcentral.